RNAcentral lists this RNase P RNA (570 nucleotides) under Dichomitus squalens LYAD-421 SS1. Its description in RNAcentral is "Nuclear RNase P". It matches the Rfam family "Nuclear RNase P". From Rfam's summary of the family: Ribonuclease P (RNase P) is a ubiquitous endoribonuclease, found in archaea, bacteria and eukarya as well as chloroplasts and mitochondria. Its best characterised activity is the generation of mature 5'-ends of tRNAs by cleaving the 5'-leader elements of precursor-tRNAs. Lineage: Eukaryota; Fungi; Basidiomycota; Agaricomycetes; Polyporales; Polyporaceae. The record is from Rfam by way of RNAcentral.
CACACCGCAAAGGCCGCGAGGCUCACCCCGAACAGGAUGUCGUCGCCUUUCGAGGGGACACAUCCGCAUUCGUGAGCGGGCUAAGGUCUGAGUAUUCCAGUCUCCCUCGCUCGACUCUAGACGGGUCGUGUCUGUGAAGACACAGCGGCGCACCAGAAAUCCUCCCCAAGCCCCGCCCUCACGGGUGGAGGUCGGUGCUCGCAAAGCGGGUAUCCGGCCACCCCAAGAACCGUCCUGCAGUGGUCGGGGAGGGUUCGCAGCAAGGAAUUGAAAGCGUCGCGGAGACCGGGCGCGCUGCCUUGCUCGCUCUGCUUCAACGCUAUCGCGGUCCAUUCGCGUUACUGCUCUCGUGGCACGUACGCGCCAAACUGCCUUUGUUGUGUUUGGCUCAACGGUGGAGUGUUGAUCCUAGUAGCGCAAGCGCUGAUCACAUGUCCACCGCGAGACCUACGAGGUCGUUUGGCAGCAGAGAAGAAUCCUCGAGGCACGCGUCCUUGAGUGCACUUCGCGGCUCGCUAAUGGCACUUCGUGUGCCAGGUGAAACUCGAUUCAGACUACUCUUGCGCUGUG